CUCCAGAGCACUGAAAUUCAGAGGGUGCCAAUAUUUGUUGCCCUUUAGCAGCUUAGAAACAAUUGUGCCUAGCACCUGGUUGGCAAAAAUAUUAGGAUGCUCAAGGAAUUUUGUUUUCUCAUUGAAAACAUCCCAGGUUUGUUCCUUCCCCACCCCCCUCCCAGAAAUAAAGAGCCUGCCUAGCAGAGUCCUCAUAAUGUCUCACUGUCUCCCCUUUGAUCUCAUAGAUUUCAUGCCACUUGGGCCAGAAGUAAAAUGCUACUUGGGUCCAUUUCCUGACUCACCAUGUGAACUAAGAUGAGAACAGUGACGCUGAGAGACACAUAGCCCAAAGACACACCGUUGGUAUCUGAAGCAAGAUUCAAACUCAGAUCUUCUCAACUCCAUGUUAUACACUUUAUCUGUCAUAUUACUUACCUUAGAGGUAACUGAGAAUUAAAUAGGACUUAGAACUAGAGCCACCGAGAGUUUAUUCAGAAGAGGAGUGGCAUGAUUAUAAUUAAGUUUUGGAAAAUCACCUUGGCAGCUCUAUGGAAGAUGGGCUUGCAAAGGAAAGAGAUUUAAGCCAGGGAGACCAAUGAAGAGGCUUCUGCAAAAGCUUGUGUAACC
This 609-nucleotide long non-coding RNA is filed under the name Monodelphis domestica (gray short-tailed opossum). RNAcentral's name for it is "lncRNA (ENSMODG00000037664.1)". Lineage: Eukaryota; Metazoa; Chordata; Mammalia; Didelphimorphia; Didelphidae. The record is from RNAcentral.